UACGGAGGGUCCAAGCGUUGUCCGGAAUCACUGGGUGUAAAGGGUGCGCAGGCGGGCUUAUAAGUCAGGGGUGAAAGCCACCGGCUCAACCGGUGAAUUGCCCUUGAUACUGUAAGUCUUGAGUCCUGGAGGGGCUGUCGGAAUUCGUGGUGUAGCGGUGAAAUGCGUAGAUAUCACGAGGAACACCGGAGGUGUAAACGGACAGCUGGACAGGUACUGACGCUCAGGCACGAAAGCGUGGGGAGCGAACAGG
RNAcentral lists this ribosomal RNA (253 nucleotides) under uncultured bacterium. RNAcentral's name for it is "partial 16S ribosomal RNA". It matches the Rfam family "Bacterial small subunit ribosomal RNA", at positions 524 to 776 of the family's 1533-position model. The record is from RNAcentral.